GUGCUCAUUUUGGCAGCACAUAUACUAAAAUUGGAAUGAUACAAAGAAGAUUAGCAUGUGGCACCUGCACAACGGCAGCACUCUUAAAAAUAUUCUUAACCUUUUA
Molecule: small nuclear RNA, 106 nt
Organism: Callithrix jacchus (white-tufted-ear marmoset)
Lineage: Eukaryota; Metazoa; Chordata; Mammalia; Primates; Cebidae
Source: Ensembl